Molecule: unclassified non-coding RNA, 209 nt
Filed under: soil metagenome
Description: partial contains 5.8S ribosomal RNA, internal transcribed spacer 2, and large subunit ribosomal RNA
Source: RNAcentral
AACCAUUCUCACCUGCGGCUAGACCUGCGGAGGGAUCAUUACCGAGUUUACAACUCCCAAACCCCUGUGAACAUACCUAUACGUUGCCUCGGCGGAUCAGCCCGCGCCCCGUAAAACGGGACGGCCCGCCCGAGGACCCCUAAACUCUGUUUUUAGUGGAACUUCUGAGUAAAACAAACAAAUAAAUCAAAACUUUUAGCAACGGAUCU